RNAcentral lists this long non-coding RNA (395 nucleotides) under Androctonus crassicauda. Lineage: Eukaryota; Metazoa; Arthropoda; Arachnida; Scorpiones; Buthidae. The record is from RNAcentral.
AUAGUAAGAAGUGCCAUUCUCCCACAUAUAUCUUAGAGAAAAAUAUGGCCAUUUGGAUCAAUUCCAAUAUGAAAAAAUAUCAGUAUACGAUAGCUUCACUGGUGGAAUUCAUUAAAUGACUUAGGCAAGCAACUUUACCAGAGAACCCAGUGUUUGUAACCAUGGACUUUAAAAAACUUUACUCUUCACUAAAAAUCGAACCAACAUGCCUUUGCCUCUACAGGUUCCUAUUGCAACACUUACCAACGUGGACGUACAACCCAAAAAUAUGUAGAGAAUUAGCAGAAUUAUUAUGCCAUAAUUCAUAUUACAGGUACAAAGGAAAUUUUUAUAAACAAACACAUGGUGUACCUAUAGGAAGCCCAAUGGCGGGAGUACUGGUGGAGUUAGUACUC